Long non-coding RNA from Sebastes umbrosus (honeycomb rockfish), 840 nucleotides. RefSeq lists it as uncharacterized. The transcript has 2 exons. Lineage: Eukaryota; Metazoa; Chordata; Actinopteri; Perciformes; Sebastidae. The record is from RefSeq and is a predicted model, not a curated record.
GUUACGUGGUAAAAGCAGAUUGCAUCAAGCUUGACGUCCUCUGUUUCUUGUAACAAAUAUUACACAUUUUAAUAUGUAUUUCCUGGUUCACUGCAAGGCUUAUUGAAAGAGGUUGGAGCAUGGGUAUUGGGGUAUAAGGAUCAGCCGCGGUCACUAUGGGAACACGGCGGGCCGUUGUCAGGAUGUGGGGUCCUUGGGAGUGGGAGUCCAGCUGCGUCCACCUCCGGUGUUCAUCCACCGCGGGCCUCCCAUCCCCCCACCGGGCCCCAGCCUGGCCGGAUCUGUUUUUCUAAACCGAGAGAGGAGUGACUCACCACUCCGGUUUCAAAACAGGCCAUGAACGGGAGGGGGGAGGGCGGCAGCUAACGUUAAAGGUCCUGUUUAAACAGGUGUUUCAGCUCACCACACUGUCGUCUCAUGCAACAGUAGGCUUGAGCUACUAAAUAUAUUGUGUGUAAAUUGAGCCCUGAUGUCAGGAUUGGCCAAAUCUGAUGCAAAUACUUUUUUACGUUUAAGCAUGCAAGACUGUGCUGUAUUUUUUGAAAAAAUGCAUUAUCACUGGAAAAAUCAAUUUAGUGGAAAUCAGUGGCAGGGCAGUCAUGUGAGAGUCCAGUCUGCAUCUCUUUUGAAUAAGCUCUUCUCAGAAAAACAAACAGGAGAAAGAUUAAUAGGGCAUAAGAAAGCCAUAUGAACAGAGGUAGACAGGAACUUCCCCUAAUGGUGGAGCAUUAUCAAACAACUAUUGAUAAGAAUGUAUUGAUCUUAAUGAUGAAAAACAAUGAGCCAUGUGGUAACAGUUUAUCUGCUUCUUUCAAUAAACCCCUGCUGUGGGCCCUUUCA